Molecule: unclassified non-coding RNA, 439 nt
Filed under: Corethrogyne filaginifolia var. californica
Lineage: Eukaryota; Viridiplantae; Streptophyta; Magnoliopsida; Asterales; Asteraceae
Description: partial external transcribed spacer
Source: RNAcentral
UCGAUGUAUGUUUAUUGUCGGAUGAUAUGGUUGCGUGAUUUACACUAGASRUACAUCGAUCUAUAUGGCGCUUAUCGAUGUAUGGCUUGUGUGGGGCGAGAGGCACAACGUGGAACUGUAAAAGGAUCUGCAAGGGUUUCCCAAACCACACAAGCCAUACAUCGGUUGUAAGUCGGAUGUCGCUUAUCGAUGUAUGGCUUGUGUGGGGCGUGAAGCACAGCGUAGAACUGUAAAAGGAUCUGCAAGGGUUUCCCAAACCACACAAGCCAUGCAUCGGUUGUAAGUCGCAAAACAACCACAAUUGUUGUAUUGCUUGGAUGUGUGCGAGAGGCACAACGUGAAUCCGUAAUAGGCCAUGGCGGGUGUCUUUUUAAGCAUCCAAACCAUACAACAUUUGGGGGGGAUUAUUCUAGCGGGUUUCAUUCUCUUCGUAUCGUGC